This 574-nucleotide long non-coding RNA is filed under the name Setaria italica (foxtail millet). Its description in RNAcentral is "long non-coding RNA (SITA_LNC005580)". Lineage: Eukaryota; Viridiplantae; Streptophyta; Magnoliopsida; Poales; Poaceae. The record is from RNAcentral.
GGGCUUGUGAUCACUUCCACUGCAGCACAGUUGAUGAGCCCCAAGGCACCAAAGGGGUAAGUCUCCCUGAAUUAACAGGAGCCACUGCUGUACAAGUUUAGUUCACAUAGAGGAAGCACUUUGUCAUCAGGAAAACAGAGAUCAUGACAGCCUUGUUACUGUGAGGGUCAUGCCGAACUCAGGCUCAAUGGCCAACCGAAAUGACGGUGUGUGUUGAUACCCGGGUGACAUUGAGAAUGAGAAUUUGGUCAGCAGGCAUGCAAGAACCACCUACAACUCUGCCAUUGCCAAGUUUUGCCCAGUACACAGUCUGGCUCCAUAUCCAAGGCAAUCACUACUGGUAUGGUGCUCUAGCUUAAAAUACUUGGUACUGAACAUGAGUGAUGGCUUGUCCUUUUCCUGACCUACUGACCUUUUCUUAUUGUUUAGAUUGCUUUCAGAUCCUGGGUGCAGGGCAGAUACCACCUUGAAAAUGUGGCAAGUAUUCAUCAGUAAACUUGUAGCUCCUUGAUUUCUGGCACUCUGCUUGCAAAUUUACCCUUCCUGUUUUACCUCGUGAAAACAUACAACCUCC